UACGAAGGGUGCGAGCGUUAUUCGGAUUGAUUGGGCGUAAAGGGUGCGCAGGCGGAAUGCUAAGUCAACUGUUAAAUUUCCCGGCUUAACCGGGAGUCAGCGGUAGAUACUGGUGUUCUUGAGGGUGGAAGAGAGAAGUGGAAUUCUCGGAGUAGCGGUAAAAUGCGUAGAUCUCGAGAGGAACACCGAUGGCGAAGGCAGCUUCUUGGUCCAUUUCUGACGCUCAUGCACGAAAGCGUGGGGAGCAAACAGG
RNAcentral lists this ribosomal RNA (253 nucleotides) under uncultured bacterium. RNAcentral's name for it is "partial 16S ribosomal RNA". It matches the Rfam family "Bacterial small subunit ribosomal RNA", at positions 524 to 776 of the family's 1533-position model. The record is from RNAcentral.